This 54-nucleotide transfer RNA is filed under the name Phytophthora ramorum (sudden oak death agent). It matches the Rfam family "tRNA", at positions 1 to 53 of the family's 71-position model. From Rfam's summary of the family: Transfer RNA (tRNA) molecules are approximately 80 nucleotides in length. Their secondary structure includes four short double-helical elements and three loops (D, anti-codon, and T loops). The record is from Rfam by way of RNAcentral. Lineage: Eukaryota; Oomycota; Peronosporomycetes; Peronosporales; Peronosporaceae.
GCCUGUGUGGCUCAGUGGUAGAGCAUCUGUCUUGUAAACAGAAGGUCCCCGGUU